AAUCAACGCUGGCGGCGUGCCUAACACAUGCAAGUCGCACGAGAAAGGGCAGCAAUGCCUGAGUACAGUGGCGCACGGGUGAGUAACACGUGAAUGAUCUACCUCCGAGUGGGGAAUAACUGAGAGAAAUCUUAGCUAAUACCGCAUAACACUUACGAGUCAAAGCAGCAAUGCGCUUGGAGAGGAGUUCGCGGCAGAUUAGUUAGUGGCGGGGUAAUGGCCCACCAAGACGAUGAUCUGUAUCCGGCCUGAGGAGGGCGCACGGACACACUGGAACU
This 278-nucleotide ribosomal RNA is filed under the name uncultured bacterium. RNAcentral describes it as "partial 16S ribosomal RNA". It matches the Rfam family "Bacterial small subunit ribosomal RNA", at positions 32 to 320 of the family's 1533-position model. The record is from RNAcentral.